GGUCAAGUGAAGAAGCGCAUACGGUGGAUGCCUUGGCAGUCAGAGGCGAUGAAAGACGUGAUAGCCUGCGAUAAGCUUCGGUGAGGUGGCAAAUGACCUGUGACCCGGAGAUCUCUGAAUGGGGGAACCCACCUAGAAUAAUCUAGGUAUCUUAACCUGAAUCCAUAGGGUUAAGAGGCGAACCAGGGGAACUGAAACAUCUAAGUACCCUGAGGAAAAGAAAUCAACCGAGAUUCCCUUAGUAGUGGCGAGCGAACGGGGACCAGCCCUUAAGUUGAUUUGAGAGUAGCGGAACGCUUUGGAAAAGGCGGCCAUAGUGGGUGAUAGCCCUGUACGCGAAACGCUCUUAUCAAUGAAAUCGAGUAGGACGGGGCACGAGAAACCCUGUCUGAAUAUGGGGGGACCAUCCUCCAAGGCUAAAUACUCCUGACUGACCGAUAGUGAACCAGUACCGUGAGGGAAAGGCGAAAAGAACCCCGGAGAGGGGAGUGAAAUAGAACCUGAAACCGUAUGCGUACAAGCAGUGGGAGCC
Molecule: ribosomal RNA, 532 nt
Filed under: Pseudomonas sp. 102515
Lineage: Bacteria; Pseudomonadati; Pseudomonadota; Gammaproteobacteria; Pseudomonadales; Pseudomonadaceae
Description: partial 23S ribosomal RNA
Rfam family: Bacterial large subunit ribosomal RNA
Source: RNAcentral